RNAcentral lists this unclassified non-coding RNA (2349 nucleotides) under Hevea brasiliensis (rubber tree). Lineage: Eukaryota; Viridiplantae; Streptophyta; Magnoliopsida; Malpighiales; Euphorbiaceae. The record is from RNAcentral.
AAAGCAGCAAGCCUACCGAGCAUUGAGCAAGGAAGUUAAGAAUUAAGAACCAAGCUCUAGAGGGCCACAUUCGUCUUUCUGCAAAACAAAUUGCCGGCUGUACUCCACUGUCCCUCACUGUAACAGAACAGUGCUCUUCACGGCUCUCUCUCUCUCUCUUACCCAUUUUCCCGGGAAAAUAGAGGGAAAAUUCUCAGUCAGGUGGGGUUUAGGGUUUGCGUAACGAAUCAUAAAAAUGUCUCAGACUGGGAAAUUGAUGCCGAAUCUGGAUCAGCAGAGCACUAAGAUGCUCAAUCUGACAGUUCUUCAGAGAAUCGAUCCCUUCAUUGAAGAGAUUCUGAUCACGGCUGCCCAUGUCACUUUCUACGAGUUUAAUAUCGAAAGCAACCAGUGGAGUAGAAAGGACGUUGAAGGAUCUCUAUUUGUCGUUAAGAGGAAUACUCAGCCCCGGUUUCAGUUCAUUGUAAUGAAUCGGCGAAAUACAGGUUCGGAUAUGUAUUAAUUUGGAAGAUAAUGCUCUAUGAAUUGUUGUAUUUUAGCUCUUCAAUGCUGAAUGUAGUUCCAUAAUGCUUUAUGUCUAGCCUGAGGCAUAUUUUGUGGCCAUAUCAUAUGAGUUAUGAUUUUCAAUGGCUUCCGUUUUCCUCUGUUUGUUCUGUGGGGUUAAAUAAAUACUAUAUAUUUUAAAAUUUCAAGUUUUAUAUUGACAACCAAAUCUCUGUUGACCAUUUUUUACUAAAAUUUUGAUUCACGGAACUGCAUUCUGUCAUAUGUAGUUACUUAUUUAUACCGUCAAGUUUUUUGAAAUAUUUUAUUUUCUUUUUUGUACAGAAAACCUAGUAGAGAAUCUAUUGGGGGAUUUUGAGUAUGAAGUUCAAGUGCCAUAUUUAUUGUAUCGAAAUGCAGCCCAAGAAGUAAAUGGUAUUUGGUUUUACAAUUCACGUGAGUGUGAGGAAGUUGCCAAUCUCUUUAGUAGGUACAGCACAUUUGUUAUUAACAUUAUUAGAUUGAUUUUUUAGAUGUCAACUUGGAAUUUCAACAUACUAAAUGCGUAAUUGGUAAUGGGUGGGUGAGAAACUAAGUGUAUGAACCUUAAGACUUUGGUAACAAAUGAAGGUUAUAAAUUUAGAAGUUAAGAGAAUUUGUAGAUGGGAGAAAGCAUAAUUAUAUAUAUUGGCUUUGAUUCAUGAAUACUGUGAAGAUUAGCACAGUGAAGGACCUUUGGGGCUUCCAAUUGCAAUAAGCUUUAGUGGGGGUUGAAGCAUUAAAGGAUUCUCAUGAUUAGUAUAUUGAUGAUGAUGAUGAUGAAGAGAAUUCAUUGAAUUAAAUUAGUUGAUUUCAUUAUUUGGUUUCAGUUCAGCCUAUAUGUUCGAUUUUAGUGGUGGUGAAUUGGAGUAUGAUUAUUGUAUUAAAACAUUUAUUUGUUUGGCUUUAUUGAUAUCCUAUUCUUUUGCUAAUCAGCUGUUUUUUGGAUAUUGUUGUGGUUGUAGGAAUUGUGGACAAUUCUUUUAUAUUGAGACUACAUAUCCAAUUUUUCUUUUUCUUUUUAAAUUUUUUUGUUUAUUUGUUCACAAGUUGGUUGAAUAUGCUAUUUAUGACUGUGGUGUGACAAAGUUAUUAUUUGUAAAAAAGCUGAGUGCCUUUUUAAUUUCUUUUAAUUGUUGGCUUGUUUUGGUUUUCCACUCUUUUACUUAAUGAAGUUAUCAUAUAUAUCAAUGUUAGGUGCCAUUUGAUUUCUCAAGUGGUGUAGCUGUUGGUUGUUGACAUUUUUUUUCCACUCAUAAAUUUGUUUUCUGCAUUCUUCUUUGGCAUCUCAUUGUGUAUUAUGGUUUUUCACAAUGCCUUUGGUUAUGGAGUUGCAAGUCAUUGCUUGUUUUAUUUUAUUUUAUUGUUGAAUGGAUUGCAUUUAGUUUUGAUUUUGUAUUAGCUUUGAAUUGAGGAUUUUUUUUUUUUAGAUGUUCUAUUCUAUUUUGUACUAGAACAAUAAAAGUUAACUUAUAUAUAUAUUGCUUUGUUAACUUUGAAAAUACAUGCAAUAUCAAGGCUAAUAUAGCCUAAAUGCAAUUAAUUCAAUAAUAAGGAGCUAAAAUAUCAAAAUAUAACACUGUGUAUUGCAUGGGCUCGCUUACUAGUUUACAUUAAUAUUAUGGGCUGGAUUUACUAGUUACCAAUUAAUACUUUUUCUUUUACAGAAUACUUAAUGCAUACGCAAAGGUUCCUCCAAAGCCAAAGGUGUCUUCAAGCAAAAGUGAAUUUGAGGAGCUUGAAGCAGUUCUGAGUAUGUCAGUGAUUGAAGGUCCGCUGGAGCCUUCAUCUACCGUCUCUGCUGCCACUGAUAGUCCAGAAGAUUCU